UCUAAUUUGAAUGAGCACUCAUUUAUAGUCUCAUAUCUCAUAAAUUCAAGUGGGUUAACCCUAAAAUCUGCUCAAUCUGUCUCUAAGAAUAAGAGGAUUCUAUCUCCCCAAAAUAUCUAACCGUCCAAGGUAAGGAGGUGAUUAAGGGGAGAUUCUAGCCGUCCAAAUGAGGCCAAUUCUCCACCACAAGCUGGCGGCAACUUCUCCACCACACCCUUAAGGUGGCAAGAAACCUAUAAAUAGGGACUUCAUGCUUCAUUUGUACACACAUUGAAUACACUUAUAGCGUUACCCUUGCAAAGCUAUUCUCUUGUAACCUUAAAUUCGUACAGCCGAUUUUAUUGAGUUAUAAAAUUACUUUCACUUUGCCUAA
Molecule: unclassified non-coding RNA, 373 nt
Filed under: Hevea brasiliensis (rubber tree)
Lineage: Eukaryota; Viridiplantae; Streptophyta; Magnoliopsida; Malpighiales; Euphorbiaceae
Source: RNAcentral